UUACGGCCACAUCACCUUGAAACGCAGGUCUCCGUACGAUCACAGAGGUUAAGCAACGUCGAGCCUGUCAGUACCUAGAUAAGUGACCGCUUUGGAAUACCAGGUGCUGUAAG
Acanthosepion pharaonis is the source of this 113-nucleotide non-coding RNA. NCBI's taxonomy places the organism in Eukaryota, Metazoa, Mollusca, Cephalopoda, Sepiida, Sepiidae. The record is from the annotation of a GenBank genome assembly.